RNAcentral lists this ribosomal RNA (478 nucleotides) under uncultured bacterium. RNAcentral describes it as "partial 16S ribosomal RNA". It matches the Rfam family "Bacterial small subunit ribosomal RNA", at positions 28 to 507 of the family's 1533-position model. The record is from RNAcentral.
GAUUAACGCUGGCGGCGUGCAUAACACAUGCAAGUCGAACGAUGAAACUUUACUGACUUCUUCGGAAUGAUUUAAAGCGGCUUAGUGGCGAACGGGUGAGUAACGCGUGAGUAACCUGCCUUACACAAGGGGAUAGCCUCUGGAAACGGAGAAUAAUACCCUAUGAAACCGGACAAUCGCAUGAUAAUCUGGUCAAAAUGUUUAGUGGUGUAAGAUGGACUUGCGUCUGAUUAGCUAGUUGGUGAGAUAAAAGCUCACCAAGGCAACGAUCAGUAGCCGACUUGAGAGAGUGUACGGCCACAUUGGGACUGAGACACGGCCCAGACUCCUACGGGAGGCAGCAGUGGGGAAUUUUGCACAAUGGGGGAAACCCUGAUGCAGCGACGCCGCGUGAUUUAGAAGGCCUUCGGGUUGUAAAAAUCUUUUGUAUAGGAAGAAAAUGACAGUACUAUACGAAUAAGGGCCGGCUAAUUACGUG